Molecule: ribosomal RNA, 208 nt
Filed under: uncultured bacterium
Lineage: Bacteria
Description: partial 16S ribosomal RNA
Rfam family: Bacterial small subunit ribosomal RNA
Source: RNAcentral
GUAGGAACCUGUCGCUGGGUGGGGGAGUAACGCUGGGAAACCGGCGCUAAUACCGCAUGUGGUCACGCAAGUGAAGAAAGUGGCAACACGCCCCGGUGAGGGGCCUGCGUCCGAUUAGCUAGUUGGUGUGGUAAGAGCGCACCAAGGCAUCGAUCGGUAGCUGGUCUGAGAGGAUGGUCAGCCACACUGGGACUGAGACACGGCCCAG